This 2124-nucleotide ribosomal RNA is filed under the name Klebsiella variicola. RNAcentral's name for it is "bacterial LSU rRNA". It matches the Rfam family "Bacterial large subunit ribosomal RNA", at positions 1 to 2141 of the family's 2925-position model. Lineage: Bacteria; Pseudomonadati; Pseudomonadota; Gammaproteobacteria; Enterobacterales; Enterobacteriaceae. The record is from RNAcentral.
GGGUUGUGAGGUUAAGCGACUAAGCGUACACGGUGGAUGCCCUGGCAGUCAGAGGCGAUGAAGGACGUGCUAAUCUGCGAAAAGCGUCGGUAAGGUGAUAUGAACCGUUAUAACCGGCGAUGUCCGAAUGGGGAAACCCAGUGUGAUUCGUCACACUAUCGUUAACUGAAUACAUAGGUUAACGAGGCGAACCGGGGGAACUGAAACAUCUAAGUACCCCGAGGAAAAGAAAUCAACCGAGAUUCCCCCAGUAGCGGCGAGCGAACGGGGAGCAGCCCAGAGUCUGAAUCAGCUUGUGUGUUAGUGGAACGGUCUGGAAAGUCCGACGGUACAGGGUGAUAGUCCCGUACACCAAAAUGCACAGGUUGUGAACUCGAAGAGUAGGGCGGGACACGUGGUAUCCUGUCUGAAUAUGGGGGGACCAUCCUCCAAGGCUAAAUACUCCUGACUGACCGAUAGUGAACCAGUACCGUGAGGGAAAGGCGAAAAGAACCCCGGCGAGGGGAGUGAAAAAGAACCUGAAACCGUGUACGUACAAGCAGUGGGAGCACCUUCGGGUGUGACUGCGUACCUUUUGUAUAAUGGGUCAGCGACUUAUAUUCUGUAGCAAGGUUAACCGUAUAGGGGAGCCGCAGGGAAACCGAGUCUUAACUGGGCGUUAAGUUGCAGGGUAUAGACCCGAAACCCGGUGAUCUAGCCAUGGGCAGGUUGAAGGUUGGGUAACACUAACUGGAGGACCGAACCGACUAAUGUUGAAAAAUUAGCGGAUGACUUGUGGCUGGGGGUGAAAGGCCAAUCAAACCGGGAGAUAGCUGGUUCUCCCCGAAAGCUAUUUAGGUAGCGCCUCGUGAACUCAUCUUCGGGGGUAGAGCACUGUUUCGGCUAGGGGGUCAUCCCGACUUACCAACCCGAUGCAAACUACGAAUACCGAAGAAUGUUAUCACGGGAGACACACGGCGGGUGCUAACGUCCGUCGUGAAGAGGGAAACAACCCAGACCGCCAGCUAAGGUCCCAAAGUCAUGGUUAAGUGGGAAACGAUGUGGGAAGGCACAGACAGCCAGGAUGUUGGCUUAGAAGCAGCCAUCAUUUAAAGAAAGCGUAAUAGCUCACUGGUCGAGUCGGCCUGCGCGGAAGAUGUAACGGGGCUAAACCAUGCACCGAAGCUGCGGCAGCGACACUAUGUGUUGUUGGGUAGGGGAGCGUUCUGUAAGCCUGCGAAGGUGGCCUGUGAGGGUUGCUGGAGGUAUCAGAAGUGCGAAUGCUGACAUAAGUAACGAUAAAGCGGGUGAAAAGCCCGCUCGCCGGAAGACCAAGGGUUCCUGUCCAACGUUAAUCGGGGCAGGGUGAGUCGACCCCUAAGGCGAGGCCGAAAGGCGUAGUCGAUGGGAAACAGGUUAAUAUUCCUGUACUUGGUGUUACUGCGAAGGGGGGACGGAGAAGGCUAUGUUAGCCGGGCGACGGUUGUCCCGGUUUAAGCAUGUAGGCGGAGGUUCCAGGUAAAUCCGGUACCUUUUAACGCUGAGGUGUGAUGACGAGGCACUACGGUGCUGAAGUAACAAAUGCCCUGCUUCCAGGAAAAGCCUCUAAGCAUCAGGUAACAUUAAAUCGUACCCCAAACCGACACAGGUGGUCAGGUAGAGAAUACCAAGGCGCUUGAGAGAACUCGGGUGAAGGAACUAGGCAAAAUGGUGCCGUAACUUCGGGAGAAGGCACGCUGGUGUGUAGGUGAAGUCCCUGCGGAUGGAGCUGAGACCAGUCGAAGAUACCAGCUGGCUGCAACUGUUUAUUAAAAACACAGCACUGUGCAAACACGAAAGUGGACGUAUACGGUGUGACGCCUGCCCGGUGCCGGAAGGUUAAUUGAUGGGGUUAUCCGUAAGGAGAAGCUCUUGAUCGAAGCCCCGGUAAACGGCGGCCGUAACUAUAACGGUCCUAAGGUAGCGAAAUUCCUUGUCGGGUAAGUUCCGACCUGCACGAAUGGCGUAAUGAUGGCCAGGCUGUCUCCACCCGAGACUCAGUGAAAUUGAACUCGCUGUGAAGAUGCAGUGUACCCGCGGCAAGACGGAAAGACCCCGUGAACCUUUACUAUAGCUUGACACUGAACAUUGAGCCUUGAUGUGUAG